This 253-nucleotide ribosomal RNA is filed under the name uncultured bacterium. Its description in RNAcentral is "partial 16S ribosomal RNA". It matches the Rfam family "Bacterial small subunit ribosomal RNA", at positions 524 to 776 of the family's 1533-position model. The record is from RNAcentral.
UACGGGGGGGGCAAGCGUUGUUCGGAAUUACUGGGCGUAAAGGGCUCGUAGGUGGCCAACUAAGUCAUACGUGAAAUCCCUCGGCUUAACCGGGGAACUGCGUCUGAUACUGGAUGGCUUGAGUUUGGGAGAGGGACGCGGAAUUCCAGGUGUAGCGGUGAAAUGCGUAGAUAUCUGGAGGAACACCGGUGGCGAAGGCGGCGUCCUGGGCCAACACUGACACUGAGGAGCGAAAGCCAGGGGAGCAAACGGG